UACGUAGGGUGCAAGCGUUAAUCGGAAUGACUGGGCGUAAAGCGUGCGCAGGCGGUGAUGUAAGACAGGUGUGAAAUCCCCGGGCUUAACCUGGGAACUGCAUUUGUGACUGCAUCGCUGGAGUGCGGCAGAGGGGGAUGGAAUUCCGCGUGUAGCAGUGAAAUGCGUAGAUAUGCGGAGGAACACCGAUGGCGAAGGCAAUCCCCUGGGCCUGCACUGACGCUCAUGCACGAAAGCGUGGGGAGCAAACAGG
This 253-nucleotide ribosomal RNA is filed under the name uncultured bacterium. Its description in RNAcentral is "partial 16S ribosomal RNA". It matches the Rfam family "Bacterial small subunit ribosomal RNA", at positions 524 to 776 of the family's 1533-position model. The record is from RNAcentral.